GUGACGUGGUGACAAGAAACAGAGGCGCUGGAAAAUAUUGGAAAAAAGCGAUAUUUCAGUGCUCUGGUGUCUGGAGAGUUGGAAAACCUCUCCCAACUAGCGCCGCUUGAGAACCUCUCCCUGUAACCCUCGAGCCCAGAGCCGAUAAAGCCAUCUCCUUCGUUUCCUCUCUCUCUUUUCAUUUCUCAUAGAACCGAAACCCUAGCUUCUAUCUUCAACACAGAACGUCAAAACAUGAAUCCAUCUCCAUCCCUGUCAAAAACGGAACCCAGCCAUGGCGAUCUUUGAUUCUAGCCCAGAUUGUCACCAUCGUGCAUUCCUCUGCGAAACCCGAGACUUGGGGAUCCGACUAAGGCCAGGGGGCAUAGGAACUGCAAGGAGCAAUGGCUCACAAAUGAAGGUGCUGUACACACAGCAUAGAUGGCUGCAAGAACUCGGAUCUACAAAAUGAAAGGUAAAUCAAAUCCCUCCACUGCGUUAAAAUUAAGCAUGGUUUAAUAUCUCUGAAAGUCAUACAGAUUUGUGAAAUGUUUCUGUCAUGCAUUUAUAGACCUAAAAUUUUGUCAAUGCUCAUGUAAUUUUCUGUGUGCUUGCAUGCCUCCAUGUGACAAAUAUUGAGACAAAAACUGUGCAUGACACUGGAUCUGUGACAUGGCUUUGAUGAAUGUCCACCUCUGUGUUGCCUGGACCAACAAUAUUUUAAUGAAAUAUGAGAGCGAGGGAGCGAAAGCAUCACAGAUGUUCAGUCUUUCUCUAGGCAAAUCCGCUGAGCAAGCAACACCAAUUUCUAGAACAGAGAUUAAACUUUCUAUGAUUAGGACGCGAUUGCUUGCCCUCCCCUCAUUAGGAUGAUUGCUCUCUUGAACAAGAACGGGAUCCAAAACCUCUUCCACUUGCUCAGGCAGAGCUGCCUUCACAAAGCUAUAAAGGGAACAUAGAUAAAAUUGGAAAGUUUCGUUUAUAAAAGACAAUGAAACCGACACACCUGGCAUUCGAAGUGGUGACCUGCUGACAAGAAAUAAACAGAGGCGCUGGAAAAUAUUGGAAAAAGAAGCAAAAUUUCAGUGCUCUGGAGAGUUGAACCCGUGACAGGAAACAUGAACUAGAGGCCCGUUUCCACAUCUCUCCUAACUAGCGCCGUACCCGCGACCCCAGAGCCGUGAAAGCUAUCUCUUUCAUUUCCUCUUUCCCUUCAUUUCUCAUGGAACUGAAACCCUAGCUUCUAUCAUCAACCCAGAACGUCAAAACAUGAAUCCAUCUCCAUCUCUGUCACAAACGGAACCCAGCCAUGGCGAUCUUUGAUUCUAGCCCAGAUUGUCACCAUCGUGCAUUCCUCUCCGAAAACCGAGACUUGGGGAUCCGAGUAAGGCCAAGGGGAAUAGGAACUGCAAGGAGCAAUGGCUCACAAUUGAAGGUGCUGUACACACAGCAAAGAUGGCUGCAAGAACUCGGAUCUACAAAAUGAAAGGUAAAUCAAAUCCCUCCACUGCGUUAAAAUUAAGCAUGGUUUAAUAUCUCUGAAAGUCAUACGGAUUUGUGAAAUGUUUCUCUCAUGCAUUUAUAGACCUAAAAUUUCGUCAAUGCUCAUGUAAUUUUCUGUGACAUGGCUUUGAUGAAUGCCCACCUCUGUGUUGCCUGGACCACCCCCAAACUAUAUGUAAAACAAUAUUUUAAUGAAAUAUGAGAGUGAGCGAGCGAAAGAUAAA
Long non-coding RNA from Pyrus x bretschneideri (Chinese white pear), 1706 nucleotides. RefSeq lists it as uncharacterized. The record is from RefSeq and is a predicted model, not a curated record. The transcript is spliced from 5 exons. Lineage: Eukaryota; Viridiplantae; Streptophyta; Magnoliopsida; Rosales; Rosaceae.